Molecule: ribosomal RNA, 217 nt
Filed under: uncultured bacterium
Lineage: Bacteria
Description: partial 16S ribosomal RNA
Rfam family: Bacterial small subunit ribosomal RNA
Source: RNAcentral
UACGUAGGGUGCAAGCGUUUGUCCGGAAUUAUUGGGCGUAAAGAGCUCGUAGGCGGUCUGUCGCGUCUGCUGUGAAAACUCAGGGCUUAACCCUGAGCUUGCAGUGGGUACGGGCAGACUAGAGUGCGGUAGGGGAGACUGGAAUUCCUGGUGUAGCGGUGAAAUGCGCAGAUAUCAGGAGGAACACCAAUGGCGAAGGCAGCUCACUGGGACGGUA